ACUCAAAGGAAUUGACGGGGGCCCGCACAAGCGGCGGAGCAUGUGGAUUAAUUCGAUGCAACGCGAAGAACCUUACCUGGGCUUGACAUACACCAGACGACCUCAGAGAUGGGGUUUCCUUUGUGGUUGGUGUACAGGUGGUGCAUGGCUGUCGUCAGCUCGUGUCGUGAGAUGUUGGGUUAAGUCCCGCAACGAGCGCAACCCUUGUCCCGUGUUGCCAGCACGUUGUGGUGGGGACUCGCGGGAGACUGCCGGGGUCAACUCGGAGGAAGGUGGGGACGACGUCAAGUCAUCAUGCCCCUUAUGUCCAGGGCUUCACACAUGCUACAAUGGCCGGUACAGAGGGUGGCGAUAUCGUGAGGUGGAGCGAAUCCCUUAAAGCCGGUCUCAGUUCGGAUCGGGGUCUGCAACUCGACCCCGUGAAGGUGGAGUCGCUAGUAAUCGCAGAUCAGCAAUGCUGCGGUGAAUACGUUCCCGGGCCUUGCACACACCGCCCGU
RNAcentral lists this ribosomal RNA (498 nucleotides) under uncultured bacterium. RNAcentral's name for it is "partial 16S ribosomal RNA". It matches the Rfam family "Bacterial small subunit ribosomal RNA", at positions 899 to 1397 of the family's 1533-position model. The record is from RNAcentral.